CAGUCGCCGCGGGAAUACGAAGGGGGCUAGCGUUGCUCGGAAUGACUGGGCGUAAAGGGCGCGUAGGCGGCGGCCAAAGUCAGGCGUGAAAUUCCCGGGCUCAACCUGGGGGCUGCGUUUGAUACUUGGUUGCUUGAGUGGGGAAGAGGGUCGUGGAAUUCCCAGUGUAGAGGUGAAAUUCGUAGAUAUUGGGAAGAACACCGGUGGCGAAGGCGGCGACCUGGUCCUUUACUGACGCUGAGGCGCGAAAGCGUGGGGAGCAAACAGGAUUAGAUACCCGCGUAGUCCCUGUCUCUUAUAC
RNAcentral lists this ribosomal RNA (301 nucleotides) under uncultured bacterium. RNAcentral's name for it is "partial 16S ribosomal RNA". It matches the Rfam family "Bacterial small subunit ribosomal RNA", at positions 509 to 807 of the family's 1533-position model. The record is from RNAcentral.